Molecule: non-coding RNA, 361 nt
Organism: Odocoileus virginianus texanus
Lineage: Eukaryota; Metazoa; Chordata; Mammalia; Artiodactyla; Cervidae
Source: RefSeq, a predicted model, not a curated record
UUGCAAACCUGGCUGACUGGAGAAACGGGGAGUCAGGAGGAGGAGCUUGGGGUGAAAUUAGGUGAGCUUGGCAGAACUGAGUUUGAGGAUGGCCGAUGCUCCCAGCGGAGACUUUCAUCAGGCAGCUGGAAAGGGGAGUCAAUACAACCCAGAAGCAGAGCCAGGUGCAAACAGAUUGCCAGUUUGUUAUAAAAGGAUACCACUCUGAAGAGCCAGAUGGAAGAGGCGUUGUCAGGACAAGGUUUGGGAGAAGGGGUGCAGUUUCCACACCCUGAAAGAUGGGGAGACUGAAGCCUGGAGUGGAGAAGUGCUUUAUCAGUUACUGGAAGAAGCAAGCUGAGCAUCUCUUGGCCCUGAAAGG